RNAcentral lists this ribosomal RNA (254 nucleotides) under uncultured bacterium. RNAcentral's name for it is "partial 16S ribosomal RNA". It matches the Rfam family "Bacterial small subunit ribosomal RNA", at positions 524 to 776 of the family's 1533-position model. The record is from RNAcentral.
UACGUAGGGGGGCAAGCGUUGUCCGGAUUCAUUGGGCGUAAAGAGCGUGUAGGCGGCCAGGUAGGUCGGUUGUGAAAACUGGAGGCUCAACCUUCAGAGGUCGACCGAAACCAUCUGGCUAGAGUCCGGGAGAGGAGAGUGGAAUUCCUGGUGUAGCGGUGAAAUGCGCAGAUAUCAGGAAGAACACCCGUGGCGAAAGCGGCUCUCUGGGACGGUACUGACGCUGAGACGCGAAAGCGUGGGGAGCGAACAGG